RNAcentral lists this ribosomal RNA (483 nucleotides) under uncultured bacterium. RNAcentral's name for it is "bacterial SSU rRNA". It matches the Rfam family "Bacterial small subunit ribosomal RNA", at positions 26 to 507 of the family's 1533-position model. The record is from RNAcentral.
AGGAUGAACGCUGGCGGCGUGCCUAACACAUGCAAGUCGAACGAAGCACUGUCGAAUGAGGAUUCGUCUGAAUUUGGCUUUGACUUAGUGGCGGACGGGUGAGUAAUGCGUGAGCAACCUGCCUUUCAGAGGGGGACAACAGUUGGAAACGACUGCUAAUACCGCAUGACAUAUUGAGAUCGCAUGGUUUGAUAUUAAAGAUUUAUCGCUGAAAGAUGGGCUCACGUCUGAUUAGUUAGUUGGUGAGGUAACGGCUCACCAAGACUGCGAUCAGUAGCCGGACUGAGAGGUUGAACGGCCACAUUGGGACUGAGAUACGGCCCAGACUCCUACGGGAGGCAGCAGUGGGGAAUAUUGGGCAAUGGGCGAAAGCCUGACCCAGCAACGCCGCGUGAAGGAAGAAGGUUUUCGGAUUGUAAACUUCUUUUAUCAGGGACGAAGAAAGUGACGGUACCUGAUGAAUAAGCCACGGCUAACUACGUG